This is a long non-coding RNA of Falco peregrinus (peregrine falcon), 1151 nucleotides long. RefSeq lists it as uncharacterized. The transcript is spliced from 3 exons. The record is from RefSeq and is a predicted model, not a curated record. NCBI's taxonomy places the organism in Eukaryota, Metazoa, Chordata, Aves, Falconiformes, Falconidae.
UCCUGAUGGUUCGUAUGCCGGGGGCUGCAGAGAGGACUGGCCAGAGAGGAGUGCCGCGUGUGGAGCCCAGCACCCCGGGGAUGGCCCCUGGCUCCCUGCUCCCUGCCCAGGAGGAUGCGAUUGCCACCCAGGUGCUAAUGAAAGAAUGCAAAUAGCACCGGCUGAGCCGAACAUUUCAUAAAGAAGGGAACAGCCACCGACCCAAAACAGUCCGGGAUCUGCCUGCUGGCACCCAGCAAAGGUGCCAGGUUGCCACCGAGGCGCUCGCCCCCCGCACAGCGAGCUGCAGAUCUCCCCCCCGUGUGCGUGUGUUCCCUGGGUGGCCAGCGGCUGCCGUGCAUGGCGCGAUGGGCGAGCUCCCCGAGCCCGAGGUAACCUUAGCGGUGUCAAUCAGCCUGCAGCCAGCCUGUAACCCUGUCCCCGCCACGCUCCCAGCUACUUUGCUGCUUGCUGCUGCUUAAUUAGCCCUGGCUGUCGCAUGAAUUUAUCGUUGCUUGACAGCAACUUCAUUUUCUCCCGAUGUGCAUAGAUUUUUUUAUAUUUUUUUUGCCUUGCUGGUGGGAGGCAGGACUGGGGGGCAGUGGGAGGCAAAUGCUGCGUGUGUUAGCGAUGUGCAGGAUUGAUGCGGGCAUGCAGAGGGGCACACGGCUCUGCUGGGCACCCUGGCCGCUGCGGCGGUGGAAAAAUGGACAUGUUGCUUCGUGGGGAGCCUUGUCCCCCCGGGGCGAUGCUGAGUGCCUGUGCCAAGGCCCUGCUCUGCUUCCCAUCCUGCAUUUACGCUCCCUGCAGAGUAGAAGCAGCUGUUACCUGAUGCUACAGCAUGUAUAAACAUAUUAAAAAUAAUAUUCCUCCUCUCAUUUUAACAGCUAGAUCCCUGCCUGUGGCUGAAUCCCCUUUUACCUGCACAAAGCCUGGGCACUGGCUUUUCUUUUUCACCCUGCCAAAUUUUAUUUGCGUGCACUUGGGGCUAGCAUUUGGGCAGCGCUGGGAUAUUACCCCCAGAGGUUUGUCCUUUGCCGGGGAACUCGAGUUUUCCCAGUGCUGGCGGGCUGCUGUGGCAGAGGCAGGUGGAGGCAGUGGCAGCCCCAUGCAGCACCUGGCCAAGGCUCUUGCUCGGGCUCCGGGUUUUCUGCCGUGUUCUCCCAGCUGCG